AGGAGCCGUAUGAGAUAAAAAUCUUAUGUACGGUUCUGGAAGGGAGAUUCUUUUACUUGAAU
This 62-nucleotide non-coding RNA is filed under the name Olea europaea subsp. europaea. Lineage: Eukaryota; Viridiplantae; Streptophyta; Magnoliopsida; Lamiales; Oleaceae. The record is from RNAcentral.